UAUUAACAAACAGCCUACAACAAAAGUUUAAAUUGAGUGGUAGUUGCCGGCUGGAGUCAAAAAAAACAUUUUAUCUAAAAAGUCUUUUCGCAAACUUAGUUUUUUUUUAGCGCUGCAGAGAAGAAUCAAUAAACAUUUACCAACAAGAUUAGUAACCGAAAGCGAGUUUCAGAUUGAGGUCGUGCAUUUUUUACGAGGAGCUGCAGGCAGGAAUGGGGGGAGGAAAAUGAGAGCAGUUAAAAGGAAUACGCUUGAAAGAGAUUCUUCUUCGAGUUAAAAAUAUAAUUUUCAAGUAGUGAGAAGUUUAAAUAACAAUUACAUGUAUCUAAUUAUAUUUUUGAUAUCUAAUAGUUUAUGAAUUCAA
This is a non-coding RNA of Hydra vulgaris (swiftwater hydra), 364 nucleotides long. The record is from RefSeq and is a predicted model, not a curated record. Lineage: Eukaryota; Metazoa; Cnidaria; Hydrozoa; Anthoathecata; Hydridae.